Molecule: ribosomal RNA, 449 nt
Filed under: uncultured bacterium
Lineage: Bacteria
Description: partial 16S ribosomal RNA
Rfam family: Bacterial small subunit ribosomal RNA
Source: RNAcentral
AACGAACGCUGGCGGCAUGCCUAACACAUGCACGUCGAACGAAGGCUUCGGCCUUAGUGGCGCACGGGUGAGUAACGCGUUGGAAAUUGCCUUUUGGUGGGGUAUAACGACGGGAAACUGUUGCUAAUACCGCAUACGUCCUUACGGGGAAAGAUUUAUCGCUGAUAGAUGUGCCCGCGUCAGAUUAGCUAGUUGGUGAGGUAAUGUCUGCCCAAGGCGACGAUCGGUAGCUGGUCUGAGAGGAUGAUCUACCACACUGGGACUGAGACACGGACGAGACUCCUACGGGAGGCAGCAGUGGGGAAUAUUGGACAAUGGGCGAAAGCCUGAUCCAGCAAUGCCGCGUGAGUGAUGAAGGCCUUAGGGUUGUAAAGCUCUUUCGGGUGGGACGAUGAUGACGGUACCACCAGAAGAAGCCCCGGCUAACUUCGUGCCAGCCGCCGCCGUAA